Molecule: ribosomal RNA, 240 nt
Filed under: uncultured bacterium
Lineage: Bacteria
Description: partial 16S ribosomal RNA
Rfam family: Bacterial small subunit ribosomal RNA
Source: RNAcentral
AAUCAACGCUGGCGGCGUGCCUAACACAUGCAAGUCGAGCGGGAAAGGGGGCUUCGGUCCCUGAGUAUAGCGGCGGACGGGUGAGUAACACGUGGGUAAUUUGCCCUUGGGUGUGGAAUAACUCAGGGAAACUUGAGCUAAUACCGCAUGACAUCCCCUUCACACACGAGUUGGGGAUCAAAGCCGGGGACCCUUCGGGGCCUGGCGCCUGAGGAGAAGCCCGCGCCCGAUUAGCUAGUU